CCUACGGGAGGCAGCAGUGAGGAAUAUUGGUCAAUGGACGCAAGUCUGAACCAGCCAUGCCGCGUGAAGGAUGAAGGUCCUCUGGAUUGUAAACUUCUUUUAUAGAAGAAGAAACCCCGGUAUUCUUACCGGGUUGACGGUACUCUAUGAAUAAGCACCGGCUAACUCCGUGCCAGCAGCCGCGGUAAUACGGAGGGUGCAAGCGUUAUCCGGAUUCACUGGGUUUAAAGGGAGCGUAGGUGGGUCGGUAAGUCAGUGGUGAAAUCCCCGAGCUUAACUUGGGAACUGCCAUUGAUACUAUCGAUCUUGAAUUCUGUGGAGGUAAGCGGAAUAUAUCAUGUAGCGGUGAAAUGCUUAGAUAUGAUAUAGAACACCGAUAGCGAAGGCAGCUUACUACGCAGAUAUUGACACUGAGGCUCGAAAGCGUGGGGAUCAAACAGGAUUAGAUACCCUAGUAGUC
Molecule: ribosomal RNA, 460 nt
Filed under: uncultured Bacteroidota bacterium
Lineage: Bacteria; Pseudomonadati; Bacteroidota
Description: bacterial SSU rRNA
Rfam family: Bacterial small subunit ribosomal RNA
Source: RNAcentral